Molecule: ribosomal RNA, 407 nt
Filed under: bacterium
Lineage: Bacteria
Description: partial 16S ribosomal RNA
Rfam family: Bacterial small subunit ribosomal RNA
Source: RNAcentral
UCGAGAAUUUUUCACAAUGGGGGAAACCCUGAUGGAGCGACGCCGCGUGGAGGAUGAAGGCGUUUUCGUUGUAAACUCCUGUCAAACGGGAACAAGAAAGUGAUAGUGCCGUUAGAGGAAGAGACGGCUAACUCUGUGCCAGCAGCCGCGGUAAUACAGAGGUCUCAAGCGUUGUUCGGAUUCAUUGGGCGUAAAGGGUGCGUAGGUGGCUUGUUAAGUUGAAGGUGAAAUCUCGGGGCUCAACUCCGAAACUGCCUUCAAUACAGGCGAGCUCGAGGACUGUAGAGGAGAAUGGAAUUCACGGUGUAGCAGUGAAAUGCGUAGAUAUCGUGAGGAAGACCAGUGGCGAAGGCGAUUCUCUGGGCAGUUCCUGACACUGAGGCACGAAGGCCAGGGGAGCAAACGGG